AUACGGAGGAUGCGAGCGUUAUCCGGAUUUAUUGGGUUUAAAGGGAGCGUAGGCGGGAGCUUAAGUCAGCGGUUGAAUGGUGCGGCUCAACCGUGCCCUGCCGUUGAAACUGGGUUUCUUGAGAGUGCAAGAGGCGGAUGGAAUUCAUGGUGUAGCGGUGAAAUGCUUAGAUAUCAUGAAGAACUCCGAUUGCGAAGGCAGUCCGCUGGGGCACGUCUGACGCUGAUGCUCGAAGGUGCGGGAAUCAAACAGGAUUAGAUACCCUGGUAGUCCGCACGGUAAACGAUGAUUACCCGCUGUCGGCGGCAGACAGUCGGCGGCCAAGCGAAAGCGAUAAGUAAUCCACCUGGGGAGUACGCCGGCAACGGUGAAACUCAAAGGAAUUGGCGGGG
Molecule: ribosomal RNA, 392 nt
Filed under: uncultured bacterium
Lineage: Bacteria
Description: partial 16S ribosomal RNA
Rfam family: Bacterial small subunit ribosomal RNA
Source: RNAcentral